CUCUGGAGGGAAGCACUUUCUGUUGUCUGAAAGAAAACAAAGCGCUUCUCUUUAGAGUG
RNAcentral lists this microRNA precursor (59 nucleotides) under Pongo abelii (Sumatran orangutan). RNAcentral describes it as "Pab-Mir-430-P27_pre stem-loop". It matches the Rfam family "mir-515 microRNA precursor family", at positions 16 to 74 of the family's 87-position model. Lineage: Eukaryota; Metazoa; Chordata; Mammalia; Primates; Hominidae. RNAcentral also lists the same sequence under 1 other name. The record is from RNAcentral.